CAGCAGCCACGGUAAUACAGAGGGUGCGAGCGUUAAUCGGAUUUACUGGGCGUAAAGCGUGCGUAGGCGGCUUCUUAAGUCGGAUGUGAAAUCCCUGAGCUUAACUUAGGAAUUGCAUUCGAUACUGGGAAGCUAGAGUAUGGGAGAGGAUGGUAGAAUUCCAGGUGUAGCGGUGAAAUGCGUAGAGAUCUGGAGGAAUACCGAUGGCGAAGGCGGCCAACUGGACAGAUACUGACGCUGAGACUCGAAAGCGUGGGGAGCAAACAGGAUUAGAUACCCGCGUAGUCCCUGUCUCUUAUAC
This 301-nucleotide ribosomal RNA is filed under the name uncultured bacterium. RNAcentral's name for it is "partial 16S ribosomal RNA". It matches the Rfam family "Bacterial small subunit ribosomal RNA", at positions 509 to 807 of the family's 1533-position model. The record is from RNAcentral.